Molecule: ribosomal RNA, 274 nt
Filed under: uncultured bacterium
Lineage: Bacteria
Description: partial 16S ribosomal RNA
Rfam family: Bacterial small subunit ribosomal RNA
Source: RNAcentral
AUACGAAAGGUGCAAGCGUUGUUCGGAUUUACUGGGCGUAAAGAGAGUGUAGGUUGUUUAUUAAGUCGGAUGUGAAAUCCCGGGGCUCAACCUCGGAACUGCAUUCGAUACUGGUAGACUAGAGUUCGGGAGGGGUAAGCGGAAUUCCGUGUGUAGCAGUGAAAUGCGUAGAUAUACGGAGGAACACCUGAGGCGAAGGCGGCUUACUGGACCGAUACUGACACUGAGACUCGAAAGCGUGGGUAGCAAACAGGAGUAGAUACCCUAGUAGUCC